RNAcentral lists this non-coding RNA (200 nucleotides) under Pseudomonadota bacterium. Lineage: Bacteria; Pseudomonadati; Pseudomonadota. The record is from RNAcentral.
UCGUGACGAACUCACUCGGAUGCCCGGAAGGGCAUAACAGGGAAGUCCGGUGCAAAACCGGCGCGGUCCCGCCACUGUAAGUGGGAAGCUCCCCCUCGUUCACCCACUCGAUGAGGAAUCGGGGAAGGGUUGGGGAAGCGUUGAAGAGCGAUCCUUCUGAACCCACGAGCCAGGAGACCUAUCCGAGAUGACCACAGCAC